Molecule: ribosomal RNA, 474 nt
Filed under: uncultured bacterium
Lineage: Bacteria
Description: SSU rRNA
Rfam family: Bacterial small subunit ribosomal RNA
Source: RNAcentral
AGGACGAACGCUGGCGGCGUGCUUAACACAUGCAAGUCGAGCGGAAAGGCCCUUCGGGGUACUCGAGCGGCGAACGGGUGAGUAACACGUGAGCAACCUGCCCUUAGCUCCGGGAUAGCUCCGGGAAACCGGAAUUAAUACCGGAUAUGACCUAGGCCGACAUCGGCUGUGGUGGAAAGUUUUUCGGCUGGGGAUGGACUCGCGGCCUAUCAGCUUGUUGGUGGGGUAAUGGCCUACCAAGGCGACGACGGGUAGCCGGCCUGAGAGGGCGACCGGCCACACUGGGGACUGAGACACGGCCCAGACUCCUACGGGAGGCAGCAGUGGGGAAUCUUGCGCAAUGGGCGAAAGCCUGACGCAGCGACGCCGCGUGGGGGAUGAAGGCCUUCGGGUUGUAAACCCCUUUCAGCAGGGACGAAGCGAAAGUGACGGUACUGCAGAAGAAGCGCCGGCUAACUACGCGCCAGCAGCCGC